Molecule: transfer-messenger RNA, 378 nt
Filed under: Patescibacteria group
Lineage: Bacteria
Also listed under: 1 other name
Description: SCTI01 sp004297735 Standard tmRNA
Rfam family: transfer-messenger RNA
About the family: Bacterial tmRNA, also known as 10Sa RNA or SsrA, is named for its dual tRNA and mRNA-like properties. Its role is to liberate the mRNA from a stalled ribosome.
Source: RNAcentral
GGGGCUGAUCAGCUUCGACGAAAGAACCUUCACACACUACUUGGCACGUCGCAGGCAUGCGUUAAAUCCAUCAACAACAAGUCUCAACAGCCUUGUUUCGCGAGUAAAGAGCGCUUUUAGCGUUCCGACCCUCGCACCAGCUUACGCCUAACCACGUAACGCCAUCGGUACUCGACGCCAGAUAGGGAUUCUACCGGUGUCAACUUUUCUGGCCGCUCGUUUAGUGGUGCCUAACGCUAAACGCUAAGAUACUUGGCUGCCGUGAUGGUUGUUUGGUCCGUUUUAAGACCAUCACCCAAGCUUUUAAAGCGGUCUAAACGUGUAGAGGAGUAGUGUUUGAGCUUUCGGACCGGGGUGCGAUUCCCCGCAGCUCCACCA